Long non-coding RNA from Anguilla rostrata (American eel), 532 nucleotides. RefSeq lists it as uncharacterized. The transcript is spliced from 6 exons. NCBI's taxonomy places the organism in Eukaryota, Metazoa, Chordata, Actinopteri, Anguilliformes, Anguillidae. The record is from RefSeq and is a predicted model, not a curated record.
UUGUGGAGCCAGAACUCCAACAGCUGCAGGAAAGGCCAGUGAGGUAGAGACUGCAGGUUGGUUGGGGUUCACUGAAUCAGUGUCAGUGGCUGCAGGUUGGGUGGAGUUCUCUGAAUCAGUGUCAGUGGAUGCAGUUUUGUGUUUAUAAGGCACUUUGAUUCACUUAUUUGUAGCUAGGACUCCUUGUGGAGCCAGAACUCCGAGAGCUGCAGGAAAGGUCAGUGAGGUAGAGACUGCAGGUUGAUUGGAGUUCACUGAAUCAGUGUCAGGGGCUGCAGGUUGGUUGGAGUUCACUAAAUCAGUGUCAGGGGCUGCAGGUUGGUUGGAGUUCACUAAAUCAGUGUCAGGGGCUGCAGGUUGAUUGGAGUUCACUGAAUCAGUGUCAGUGGCUGCAGGUUGGUUGGGGUUCACUGAAUCAGUGUCAGUGGCUGCAGGUUGGGUGGAGUUCCCUGAAUCAGUGUCAGUGGCUGCAGGUUGGGUGGAGUUCCCUGAAUCAGUGCCAGUGGCUGCAGGUCGGUUGGAGUUCACUAAA